This 481-nucleotide ribosomal RNA is filed under the name uncultured bacterium. RNAcentral's name for it is "partial 16S ribosomal RNA". It matches the Rfam family "Bacterial small subunit ribosomal RNA", at positions 30 to 507 of the family's 1533-position model. The record is from RNAcentral.
UUGAACGCUGGCGGCAUGCCUUACACAUGCAAGUCGCACGGUAACGGGCCUUCGGGCGCCGACGAGUGGCGAACGGGUGAGUAAUACAUCGGAACGUGCCCGAUCGUGGGGGAUAACGAGGCGAAAGCUUUGCUAAUACCGCAUACGAUCUACGGAUGAAAGCAGGGGACCGCAAGGCCUUGCGCGGACGGAGCGGCCGAUGGCAGAUUAGGUAGUUGGUGGGAUAAAAGCUUACCAAGCCGACGAUCUGUAGCUGGUCUGAGAGGAUGAUCAGCCACACUGGGACUGAGACACGGCCCAGACUCCUACGGGAGGCAGCAGUGGGGAAUUUUGGACAAUGGGCGCAAGCCUGAUCCAGCCAUGCCGCGUGCAGGAUGAAGGCCUUCGGGUUGUAAACUGCUUUUGUACGGAACGAAAAGCCUUCUUUUAAUACAGGAGGGUCAUGACGGUACCGUAAGAAUAAGCACCGGCUAACUACGUG